This 483-nucleotide ribosomal RNA is filed under the name uncultured bacterium. RNAcentral describes it as "partial 16S ribosomal RNA". It matches the Rfam family "Bacterial small subunit ribosomal RNA", at positions 30 to 507 of the family's 1533-position model. The record is from RNAcentral.
UUGCACGCUGGCGGCAGGCCUAACACCUGCAAGUCGAGCGGAUGAAGGGAGCUUGCUCCUGGAUUCAGCGGCGGACGGGUGAGUAAUGCCUAGGAAUCUGCCUGGUAGUGGGGGAUAACGUCCGGAAACGGGCGCUAAUACCGCAUACGUCCUGAGGGAGAAAGUGGGGGAUCUUCGGACCUCACGCUAUCAGAUAAGCCUAGGUCGGAUUAGCUAGUUGGUGGGGUAAAGGCCUACCAAGGCGACGAUCCGUAACUGGUCUGAGAGGAUGAUCAGUCACACUGGAACUGAGACACGGUCCAGACUCCUACGGGAGGCAGCAGUGGGGAAUAUUGGACAAUGGGCGAAAGCCUGAUCCAGCCAUGCCGCGUGUGUGAAGAAGGUCUUCGGAUUGUAAAGCACUUUAAGUUGGGAGGAAGGGCAGUAAGUUAAUACCUUGCUGUUUUGACGUUACCAACAGAAUAAGCACCGGCUAACUUCGUG